RNAcentral lists this ribosomal RNA (275 nucleotides) under uncultured bacterium. RNAcentral describes it as "partial 16S ribosomal RNA". It matches the Rfam family "Bacterial small subunit ribosomal RNA", at positions 79 to 353 of the family's 1533-position model. The record is from RNAcentral.
CUAAGUUUGAUGGCGACCGGCGCACGGGUGAGUAACACGUAUCCAACCUGCCGAUGACUCGGGGAUAGCCUUUCGAAAGAAAGAUUAAUACCCGAUGGCAUAGUUCUUCCGCAUGGUGGAACUAUUAAAGAAUUUCGGUCAUCGAUGGGGAUGCGUUCCAUUAGGUUGUUGGCGGGGUAACGGCCCACCAAGCCUUCGAUGGAUAGGGGUUCUGAGAGGAAGGUCCCCCACAUUGGAACUGAGACGCGGUCCAAACUCCUACGGGAGGCAGCAUG